UCUCAGUUGUUUUUUCUUUUGCUUAAAUCUACUACACUUCACACAGUUCCAUGUUGCCUGAACCAACAGGGAUUCCGGGAAGAACAACAGAGACGUCGGAAGGAAUUUCUGAUUUUCGGAAACUAACUCGACGUAGCCCACCAAAAUGAACGUCAACGGUUGUUGAUUUUCAUCAAAUCAUCAAAAUGGCGGAGCUUUUUAAAGACAAAACCCUUGCCAGCAAGACCGAGUCAGCCGUGCCGGCAGAGGAGGCAUUGAAGGAUAAAGUUGUAGGGCUCUACUUCUCCGCCUCGUGGUGUCCGCCAUGCAGACAGUUCACGCCUCUGCUCCGGGAAGUGUACGAUGAACUGAUGGCCCGUGGGGCACCGUUUGAGGUGGUGUUUGUCUCAUUUGACAAAACGGCCGACGACCUACAAAGCUAUGUGAUGGGUCACCAUGGCGAUUGGCUCUUUGUUCCGUUCGGUGAUCCCUUAAUCAGUGAACUGAAGGAGAUGUUCAGUGUUGCGGCCGUGCCACAACUUAUCGUCGUGAAGCCUAACGGUGACGUCAUCACACCGCUGGGGCGUAAGCAGGUGCAGGACCGGGGAGUGUCCUGCUUCACGAGCUGGUUGCAAGCCUUGGACAAAGUCUGAACUUCUGCUGAUGAUGAGUAUGGCCGUGUUACACAAAGGUCUUCAAAAUUGUGGGCUCAUAGGUCGUCGCAACCAUGUCAAAGGUCAUAACCAUCAUGGGCUCAAAGGUCGUCACAAAUAUGGGCUCAAACGUCAUCUCAAUCAUGUCAAAAGAGAUUACCAUCAUGGGCACUAAGGUCAUCACCAUUAUGGGCUCAAAUGUCAUCACAAUUAUGGGUUCAAAGGUCGUCGAAAUCAUGCGCUCAAAGUGUCAUGCUGUGGUUCCUCCUGUCCAGUCUUUAUCUUAAGAACAGUUGUAUAAUUGAAAGGGGCAUUGGACCCCCCCCCCAAAAAAAAAUGAAAACAAUUACAAUAUGUUCGACUCACGUGCCGUGGUAUGUGGGUUAGUAGCCUGACGGGGAACACGGUGCUUGUGUUCUUAGGCAAGACACUUUACUACAAUUGCCUCUCUCCACCCAGGAGUAUACAGUUGAACACCUGUAUAACAAGGUCAUUGGGACUUUACAAAUUACCUUGUUAUAACAGGUACUUUGUAUUAUCAGUAACGGAAAACAAUGAAAAACAAAGACUAGGGACCUAAAAUUGUCCUUGUUUUAAGCCGGAUGUUGUAGUAACAGUGCUCUUCUUAAUAUCGGGGUUUGACUGUGGAGAUAGAGACAAAAUUGCGCUGAUCUCGAGCUACUGCAAACAACAGGUUGCAUGGCCUGAUAAACAGGGGUAAUACUUAUGAAGCGCUUUGAGACCAUUGGUAUAAAGCGCUAUAUAAAACGCCACAUUAUAAUAAUUACAAUUAUAAAUAUGUAUUUAAUGGUUGAGGCUUUGUGUAAUAAUUAUUUGUUUAAAACCAUACAGUUUGUACAUUUUGAACAUUUUGAUAAUUUAGAACUGACGAAUUGUAUCUUAAAUUCUCAAUUGCCCUUUUUGAUUGGUCAAUCAAUUUUUGAUUUGAAAAUGUAAAACGAGAUUUACCAAUAAGGCCGCAAUUAAUUUGUAAUCAGAUCAGGGUCACAAAAGUCAAUGAGAUGGCCAAGUAUCCCAUAAUUUACUGUCUAAGCUGGAUUUGGGUCUCAGGAGUGCAUUAAUAGUCCUGCAUGAUUUAAUCAUCUGUGUUGAACUGAUGAAAAACUCAUCAAAUUGUUUAUUCGUGUGGACUAACGAGAGCGCAAGCGCUAAAGCUAAACCCCCAAACUAAAAGUUGCACUAAGCGAGGUUUUCAAUGGGCAUUGCAACACACAAUGCAAUGAUGCAGGCCCUGCAUUCAAAUGUGUGUUGCAGUGUCUGAAAAUCUUGCUAAAUGCAACUUUUAGUUUCGGGUUUCAGGAGCUUCCGUGCUUCCGAGGUAGCAAAUUUAACCAGAAAGUUUCCCUGACAAAACGAUGUUUGUUUUCAUCGAGAAAAGUCCAAACAAGGAUGUUUAUAAAAACUGCUUAGUUUCUUUUGGUUCCAAAUGUAUGUAAAUAUUCGGCUCAUAAAUACCACAAAAAAAAUGGAAUAAACUUAAAGCUUUCAAAAGUGUUUGGCAAACUCAUUUUAAAAAGGUAUAUUUUGUUCACCUUGUGUCUGAUUUGUUCUUAUUUUAAAGAGUUGCGUGUGUCAAAUAAAAAUACGAAUAUUUUUCCACCA
Molecule: RNA transcript, 2255 nt
Organism: Patiria miniata (bat star)
Lineage: Eukaryota; Metazoa; Echinodermata; Asteroidea; Valvatida; Asterinidae
Gene name: nucleoredoxin-like protein 2
Exons: 3
Source: RefSeq, a predicted model, not a curated record